Molecule: unclassified non-coding RNA, 209 nt
Filed under: plant metagenome
Description: partial contains small subunit ribosomal RNA, internal transcribed spacer 1, and 5.8S ribosomal RNA
Source: RNAcentral
CGUAGGUGAACCUGCGGAAGGAUCAUUCAUAAUAAGUGUUUUAUGGCACUUUUUUCAAUCUAUAUCCACCUUGUGUGCAAUGUCAGGGUUGAUUUUUCUCUCGAGAGGAUCAACCCCAAACAUCAACUAUAUCUCAACUCUUUGUCUGAAAAAUAUUAUGAAUAAAACAAUUCAAAAUACAACUUUCAACAACGGAUCUCUUGGCUCUC